CCUGUGGUGGGGGGUUGCAGGGCUUGGGGGGUUCCCGGCCGGACACGCUGUGACAGCGGCCACUGGGGACCCUCAGGGGAGAGCUGCUACCUCAGAUAGAAAACUAUAUUCCUUCAACUUCCGGGAGGGGAGGAAUCGGAGCAGCUCUCUCUUCUCCCCUGCAGUGGCUGGCAUUGGAAUAACGACGCGCCUGGCUGUUUCUGAUUCAAGUCCAACUCCAAGAUUUGUUUCUUCCAACUCCUCAGGCUAGGUACAUGGCCGGUGUUCAAUUCAUACCUGUUGAUUAACUGAAUUGUAAUUGAUGCUUUGCCUUUAAUAAGGAACCUGGAGACCUUGUAGGCAUUUUCCUUUGGUGUUUUACAUGAGAAUGUGUCUGGCCUUGUAUUUGGAAUAAGCAUCCCCGCUGGAUAUAGACUCUGAGGCAUGUGGUGAGGACACGAUUUCUUGCCCCCGAAAGCGUAUUGUGUGAAAUAAGACAAGAUGAAUGGAUCAAAAUCCUAACCCCCACUUCCCAUCUUCCUCCUAUCCUGGAAGUGCUUUUUUUUUUUUUUUUUUUUAAAUCUUUCUUGAUUGGGUAUUAUCCAGUUCUUCUUUGAAGACGUUCAAUCAAUUUACAUUCCACUCACAGCAUGAAAGAGUUGCUGUUCCAGAGCUGUAUUGCUGGGUGCCGUCUCCUGAUGUCUUCUAUAGGAUAUUUGCUUCUGUUUUCGCAAGAGACAUUAACCUUUUCUUUACCCUGGCCUGAUUUGGGGGAUGAAGAAGCCAAUCUGUGAAUCUAGGAUGGGGAUGUAAUGGUAACCGUAGGAUAAUCAAGCUGUUUGCUUCUCAUUGACACCAGAAGCUGGGAACACAGUGAAAAGGGCACAAUGAAGAGGUGGUGAUGGGGUGCUGGCAUGGAAUAAAGAGAUGAAGAAAAGAAAGUUCCAAG
Mustela erminea (ermine) is the source of this 928-nucleotide long non-coding RNA. RefSeq lists it as uncharacterized. The transcript has 8 exons. NCBI's taxonomy places the organism in Eukaryota, Metazoa, Chordata, Mammalia, Carnivora, Mustelidae. The record is from RefSeq and is a predicted model, not a curated record.